UACGUAGGGGGCAAGCGUUGUCCGGAAUCAUUGGGCGUAAAGCGCGUGUAGGCGGCUUGGUAAGUCCGCUCUGAAAGCCCGGGGCUCAACCCCGGGAGGCGGGUGGAUACUGUCAAGCUCGAGUCCGGAAGAGGCGAGUGGAAUUCCUGGUGUAGCGGUGAAAUGCGCAGAUAUCAGGAGGAACACCAAUGGCGAAGGCGGCCCACUGGGCCGGUGCUGACGCUGAGGCGCGAAGGCGUGGGGAGCGAACGGG
This 253-nucleotide ribosomal RNA is filed under the name uncultured bacterium. Its description in RNAcentral is "partial 16S ribosomal RNA". It matches the Rfam family "Bacterial small subunit ribosomal RNA", at positions 524 to 776 of the family's 1533-position model. The record is from RNAcentral.